RNAcentral lists this ribosomal RNA (1438 nucleotides) under uncultured Clostridia bacterium. RNAcentral describes it as "bacterial SSU rRNA". It matches the Rfam family "Bacterial small subunit ribosomal RNA". Lineage: Bacteria; Bacillati; Bacillota; Clostridia. The record is from RNAcentral.
GAUAAACGCUGGCGGCGUGCUUAACGCAUGCAAGUUGAACGGGAGAGCCCUUUCGGGGGCGAUUUAGUAGCGAACGGGUGAGUAACACGUGGAUAACCUGACCUUACUUGGGGGAUAACGAUGAGAAAUCAUCGCUAAUACCGCGUAAGCUUGAAGAGCCGCAUGGCGAAUCAAGGAUAGGAGAAAUCCGGGUAAGGAGGGGUCCGCGGCUGAUUAGCCAGUUGGCAGGGUAACGGCCUACCAAAGCGACGAUCAGUAGCCGGUCUGAGAGGAUGUACGGCCACAUUGGGACUGAGACACGGCCCAAACUCCUACGGGAGGCAGCAGUGGGGAAUAUUGCACAAUGGGCGGAAGCCUGAUGCAGCAACGCCGCGUGAAGGAUGAAGGUUUUCGGAUUGUAAACUUCUAUCAAUGGGGACGAAGGAAGUGACGGUACCCAAAUAAGAAGCCCCGGCUAACUACGUGCCAGCAGCCGCGGUAAUACGUAGGGGGCAAGCGUUAUCCGGAAUUACUGGGCGUAAAGGGUGAGUAGGCGGUUGUACAAGUCACAUGUGGAAAUCCGGCGCUUAACGGCGGACUUGCAUGAGAAACUGUACGGCUUGAGUGCGGGAGAGGUAAGCGGAAUUCCUAGUGUAGCGGUGAAAUGCGUAGAUAUUAGGAAGAACACCAGUGGCGAAGGCGGCUUACUGGACCGCGACUGACGCUGAGUCACGAAAGCGUGGGGAGCAAACAGGAUUAGAUACCCUGGUAGUCCACGCUGUAAACGAUGAGCGCUAGGUGUCGGGGCGAGAGUUUCGGUGCCGGAGCAAACGCAAUAAGCGCUCCGCCUGGGGAGUAUGUACGCAAGUAUGAAACUCAAAGGAAUUGACGGGGGCCCGCACAAGCGGUGGAGCAUGUGGUUUAAUUCGAUGCAACGCGAAGAACCUUACCAAGAUUUGACAUCCCUCUGAAUGAAUUGGAGACAGUUCAGCCCUUCGGGGCGGAGGAGACAGGUGGUGCAUGGUUGUCGUCAGCUCGUGUCGUGAGAUGUUGGGUUAAGUCCCGCAACGAGCGCAACCCUUAUCCUUAGUAGCCAGCGGGAGAGCCGGGCACUCUAGGGAGACUGCCGUGGAUAACACGGAGGAAGGCGGGGAUGAGGUCAAAUCAUCAUGCCCUUUAUGUCUUGGGCAACACACGUGCUACAAUGGCUGCAACAAAGUGAGGCAAGUACGCGAGUACGAGCAAAACACAAAAAAGCAGUCUCAGUUCGGAUUGCAGUCUGCAACUCGACUGCAUGAAGCUGGAAUCGCUAGUAAUCGCGGAUCAGCAUGUCGCGGUGAAUACGUUCCCGGGCCUUGUACACACCGCCCGUCACACCAUGGGAAUCGGAAGCGCCCGAAGUCCGCGGCCUAACCCGAAAGGGAGGGAGCGGCCGAAGGUGAAGUCGGUGACUAGGGUG